RNAcentral lists this transfer RNA (84 nucleotides) under Candidatus Kentrum sp. TC. Its description in RNAcentral is "Candidatus Kentron sp. TC tRNA_Leu_TAA". It matches the Rfam family "tRNA". From Rfam's summary of the family: Transfer RNA (tRNA) molecules are approximately 80 nucleotides in length. Their secondary structure includes four short double-helical elements and three loops (D, anti-codon, and T loops). Lineage: Bacteria; Pseudomonadati; Pseudomonadota; Gammaproteobacteria. The record is from RNAcentral.
GCCGGGAUGGUGGAAUUGGUAGACACAAGGGACUUAAAAUCCCUCGCCCCAACGGGCUUGCGGGUUCGACUCCCGCUCCCGGCA